Molecule: ribosomal RNA, 472 nt
Filed under: uncultured bacterium
Lineage: Bacteria
Description: partial 16S ribosomal RNA
Rfam family: Bacterial small subunit ribosomal RNA
Source: RNAcentral
UGGGGAAUUUUGGACAAUGGGCGAAAGCCUGAUCCAGCAAUGCCGCGUGUGUGAAGAAGGCCUUCGGGUUGUAAAGCACUUUUGUCCGGAAAGAAAUCCUUGGCUCUAAUACAGUCGGGGGAUGACGGUACCGGAAGAAUAAGCACCGGCUAACUACGUGCCAGCAGCCGCGGUAAUACGUAGGGUGCAAGCGUUAAUCGGAAUUACUGGGCGUAAAGCGUGCGCAGGCGGUUUGCUAAGACCGAUGUGAAAUCCCCGGGCUCAACCUGGGAACUGCAUUGGUGACUGGCAGGCUAGAGUAUGGCAGAGGGGGGUAGAAUUCCACGUGUAGCAGUGAAAUGCGUAGAGAUGUGGAGGAAUACCGAUGGCGAAGGCAGCCCCCUGGGCCAAUACUGACGCUCAUGCACGAAAGCGUGGGGAGCAAACAGGAUUAGAUACCCUGGUAGUCCACGCCCUAAACGAUGUCAACUAG